UUCUCCAUCCUUCAAUAUACAAGGAGCAACAAAAUGGUUAAUAACAAAAUCAUAUAUCACAUAUAAUGAUAUAAAUGUAAAAAAAGAUAGGUAAACAGUUUU
This is a non-coding RNA of Arachis ipaensis, 102 nucleotides long. The record is from RefSeq and is a predicted model, not a curated record. NCBI's taxonomy places the organism in Eukaryota, Viridiplantae, Streptophyta, Magnoliopsida, Fabales, Fabaceae.